GCCGGGCAUAGUGGCAUAUGCCUGUAAUCCCAGCUACUUGGGAGGCUGAGGCAUGAGAAUCACUUGAACCCAGGAGGCAGAGGGUGCAGUGAGUCAAGAUCAUUGCACUCCAGCCUGGGUGACACAGCGAGAUUCUGUCUCAA
RNAcentral lists this small RNA (143 nucleotides) under Pongo abelii (Sumatran orangutan). RNAcentral's name for it is "Metazoan signal recognition particle RNA (ENSPPYG00000041287.1)". The record is from Rfam by way of RNAcentral. Lineage: Eukaryota; Metazoa; Chordata; Mammalia; Primates; Hominidae.